GGACACGGCUGGGGCAGCAGCGACGACUGGGGCGCUCUGAUAAACCUUAGUCACAGCUGGGGCGGCCUGGUAGGUCACGCGGGAGACAGCUGGAGCAGCGUAGGUAGCGACAGCUGGAGCAGACUGGUAGGUGGUGACGCGGGACACAGCUGGGGCAGCAGCGACGACUGGGGCGCUCUGGUAAACCUUAGUCACAGCUGGAGCGGCCUGGUAGGUCACGCGGGAGACAGCUGGAGCAG
This 239-nucleotide long non-coding RNA is filed under the name Dermacentor andersoni. RNAcentral describes it as "uncharacterized LOC126541827". The record is from RNAcentral. Lineage: Eukaryota; Metazoa; Arthropoda; Arachnida; Ixodida; Ixodidae.